CUGGCUCAGGAUGAACGCUGGCGGCGUGCUUAACACAUGCAAGUCGAACGGGUUUAUAAGUUGGAGGCUUCGGCCAAAGACUUAUAAGCUAGUGGCGGACGGGUGAGUAACGCGUGGAGAACCUGCCCCAUGCAGGGGGAUAACAGUGAGAAAUCACUGCUAAUACCGCAUAAGCGCACGAGGCCGCAUGGCCCUGUGUGAAAAAACUCCGGUGGCAUGGGAUGGCUCCGCGUUGGAUCAGCCAGUUGGCGGGGUAACGGCCCACCAAAGCAUCGAUCCAUAGCCGGCCUGAGAGGGUGAACGGCCACAUUGGGACUGAGACACGGCCCAGACUCCUACGGGAGGCAGCAGUGGGGAAUAUUGCACAAUGGGGGAAACCCUGAAUGCAGCGACGCCGCGUGAAGGAAGAAGUAUCUCGGUAUGUAAACUUCUAUCGACAGGGAAGAUAAUGACGGUACCUGAAUAAGAAGCCCCGGCUAACUACGUGCCAGCCGCCGC
This 498-nucleotide ribosomal RNA is filed under the name uncultured bacterium. RNAcentral's name for it is "bacterial SSU rRNA". It matches the Rfam family "Bacterial small subunit ribosomal RNA", at positions 19 to 518 of the family's 1533-position model. The record is from RNAcentral.